Non-coding RNA from Oryza nivara, 205 nucleotides. The record is from Rfam. NCBI's taxonomy places the organism in Eukaryota, Viridiplantae, Streptophyta, Magnoliopsida, Poales, Poaceae.
AAUAAGUGCAGUAAUUUGCUUCAUGUUAAACGUUUGACUGUUCGUCUUAUUUGAAUUUAUUUUAUGAUUAUUAUCUUUAUUGUUGUAGAUGAUAAAUUAUGAAUAAUAUUUUAUGUGUGACUAUUUUUUUGAAAAAAAAUUCAUAGAAUUUUCAAAUAAGACAGAUGUUCAAACGUUGAACACAAAUUCCACAGCUGCACUUAUU